CAGACUGUUGGUCGAAAUAAAGAAGCAGCUGAUGGAGGAAGGCAGAGAGUACUGGUAGCAGAGGAGGUGGCAUUCUGGGAGGAUGGCAGCUAUGAGGCGGUGUCAGGAUGGACCCCAAGUUCCUCCAACCAGGACCUCAGUGACAUCAGGACUGCAUUACAGGAAGAGACGUCAGGUCCACGCUACAGGAGAGAUGUUGGGCCUGUCCUGAACGCAGCAUAAUGUUUG
Poecilia latipinna (sailfin molly) is the source of this 228-nucleotide long non-coding RNA. RefSeq lists it as uncharacterized. The record is from RefSeq and is a predicted model, not a curated record. NCBI's taxonomy places the organism in Eukaryota, Metazoa, Chordata, Actinopteri, Cyprinodontiformes, Poeciliidae. The transcript is spliced from 3 exons.